GGUUAAGUUAUUAAGGGCUUACGGUGGAUGCCUUGGGACCAAGGGCCGAUGAAGGGCGCGGUAAGGCUGUGAUAAGCCUCGAUGAGCCGUCUAACAGGCAUAGUCGGGGGUGCCCGAAUGGGGUAACCUGUUCCGGUGUUGAGCCGGUUCAUCCUUCCCGUAAGGGAAGGAGGGUAAGCGGGGGAACUGAAACAUCUAAGUACCCCGAGGAAAAUAAAUCAACCGAGAUUCCCUGAGUAGUGGCGAACGAAAGGGGAAGAGCCCAAACCAAUACGACUUAGUGGCGCGAGGGCCUAUGUCGUAUCGGGGUUGUAGGGGGCACCUAGGGUCACCUCGUUAGACCCAAAGGAGUUACAAAUCUUAUUUCUAGUCGAAGGCACCUGGGAAGGACCGCCAUAGAGGGUGAAAGCCCCGUAGACGAAAGGAAUAAGACUCCUGAUGCUCACCCUGAGUACCACGGGGCACGGGAAACCUUGUGGGAAGCUGGGGGGACCACCCUCCAAGGCUAAAUACCCUUGGUCACCGAUAGCGUACCAGUACCGUGAGGGAAAGGUGAAAAGAA
RNAcentral lists this ribosomal RNA (562 nucleotides) under Chloroflexota bacterium. RNAcentral describes it as "Chloroflexi bacterium (marine sediment metagenome) partial 23S ribosomal RNA". It matches the Rfam family "Bacterial large subunit ribosomal RNA", at positions 1 to 523 of the family's 2925-position model. Lineage: Bacteria; Bacillati; Chloroflexota. The record is from RNAcentral.